RNAcentral lists this ribosomal RNA (227 nucleotides) under uncultured bacterium. RNAcentral's name for it is "partial 16S ribosomal RNA". It matches the Rfam family "Bacterial small subunit ribosomal RNA", at positions 111 to 334 of the family's 1533-position model. The record is from RNAcentral.
UAACACGUGAGUAACCUCGCCCCCUUCUUCUGGAUAACCGCAUGAAAGUGUGGCUAAUACGGGAUAUUCUGCGCCUGCUGCAUGGUGGGUGUGGGAAAGAUAUUGUUUCGGUGGGGGAUGGGCUCGCGGCCUAUCAGCUUGUUGGUGGGGUGAUGGCCUACCAAGGCGGUGACGGGUAGCCGGCCUGAGAGGGUGGACGGUCACACUGGGACUGAGACACGGCCCAG